RNAcentral lists this ribosomal RNA (787 nucleotides) under uncultured bacterium. RNAcentral's name for it is "bacterial SSU rRNA". It matches the Rfam family "Bacterial small subunit ribosomal RNA", at positions 96 to 868 of the family's 1533-position model. The record is from RNAcentral.
UGGCGGACGGGUGAGUAACACGUGGGUAACCUGCCCUUAAGUGGGGGAUAACAUUUGGAAACAGAUGCUAAUACCGCAUAGAUCCAAGAACCGCAUGGUUCUUGGCUGAAAGAUGGCGUAAGCUAUCGCUUUUGGAUGGACCCGCGGCGUAUUAGCUAGUUGGUGAGGUAAUGGCUCACCAAGGCGAUGAUACGUAGCCAAACUGAGAGGUUGAUCGGCCACAUUGGGACUGAGACACGGCCCAAACUCCUACGGGAGGCAGCAGUAGGGAAUCUUCCACAAUGGACGCAAGUCUGAUGGAGCAACGCCGCGUGAGUGAAGAAGGCUUUCGGGUCGUAAAACUCUGUUGUUGGAGAAGAAUGGUCGGCAGAGUAACUGUUGCCGGCGUGGCGGUAUCCAACCAGAAAGCCACGGCUAACUACGUGCCAGCAGCCGCGGUAAUACGUAGGUGGCAAGCGUUAUCCGGAUUUAUUGGGCGUAAAGCGAGUGCAGGCGGUUUUUUAAGUCUGAUGUGAAAGCCCUCGGCUUAACCGAGGAAGCACAUCGGAAACUGGGAAACUUGAGUGCAGAAGAGGACAGUGGAACUCCAUGUGUAGCGGUGAAAUGCGUAGAUAUAUGGAAGAACACCAGUGGCGAAGGCGGCUGUCUGGUCUGUAACUGACGCUGAGGCUCGAAAGCAUGGGUAGCGAACAGGAUUAGAUACCCUGGUAGUCCAUGCCGUAAACGAUGAAUGCUAGGUGUUGGAGGGUUUCCGCCCUUCAGUGCCGCAGCUAACGCAUUAAGCAUU